UCGAUUGAGUUUGAUCAUGGCUCAGGACGAACGCUGGCGGCAUGGAUUAGGCAUGCAAGUCGAGCGACGCACCUUAGGGUGACGGAGCGGCGAACGGGUGAGUAACACGUGAACAAUCUACCCUCUUAUUCUGGACAAUUGGCUGAAAAGCCUUGUAAUACAGGGGAGGUUCCAACUUGGGCAUCCUUGAUGGAACGAACAGGUAACUGGUGCGAGGAGGAGUUCGCGGAUUAUCAGGUAGUUGGUGGGGUAACGGCCUACCAAGCCUACGACGAUUAGCUGGUCUGAGAGGAUGGUCAGCCACAUUGGAACUGAGAUACUGUCCAGACUCCUACGGGAGGCUGCAGUCGAGAAUCUUGGGCAAUGCACGAAAGUGUGACCCAGCGACGCCGCGUGCAGGAUGAAGGCCCUCUGGGUUGUAAACUGCUUUUACGGGAGAAGAAUCAAUGACGGUAUCCCGUGAAUAAGCCACGGCUAACUACGUGCCAGCAGCCGCGGUAAUACGUAGGUGGCAAGCGUUGUCCGGAUUUACUGGGCGUAAAGCGAACGCAGGCGGACUGUUAAGUAGAAAGUGAAAGGUCGGAGCUCAACUCCAACAUUGCUUUCUAUACUGGCAGUCUUGAGUAGCGGAGAGGAAGGGGGAACGACACGUGUAGCGGUGAAAUGCGUUGAUAUGUGUCGGAACACCCAUGGCGAAAG
Molecule: ribosomal RNA, 699 nt
Filed under: uncultured bacterium
Lineage: Bacteria
Description: bacterial SSU rRNA
Rfam family: Bacterial small subunit ribosomal RNA
Source: RNAcentral